This 224-nucleotide unclassified non-coding RNA is filed under the name Hevea brasiliensis (rubber tree). The record is from RNAcentral. Lineage: Eukaryota; Viridiplantae; Streptophyta; Magnoliopsida; Malpighiales; Euphorbiaceae.
GUCCCUUUUUCUGUACUUUGCUUUUGAAUGGUCUCACUUGCAUUAGUUUUCACAAUUUCCUUGCAUAACACUUCAGUUUGCAUUUCUUCUGCUAACACCUUAUCUGCUAGAAUUUCUUCACCUUCACCCUUUAUCUGUUGUUCUUGGUGGAUCUCUCUAGUUGCUUCUUCACUUGAGAAAUUGUCAACAGCACCUUGGAGAAGGUUCUUUAUUGUUCCUUUUUC